GACGAACGCUGGCGGCGUGCUUAACACAUGCAAGUCGAACGCUGAAGCUCAGCUUUUGUUGGGUGGAUGAGUGGCGAACGGGUGAGUAACACGUGAGUAACCUGCCCUCUUCUUUGGGAUAACGCCCGGAAACGGGUGCUAAUACUGGAUAUUCACUGAUCUUCGCAUGGGGGUUGGUGGAAAGGUUUGUUCUGGUGGGGGAUGGGCUCGCGGCCUAUCAGCUUGUUGGUGGGGUGAUGGCCUACCAAGGCUUUGACGGGUAGCCGGCCUGAGAGGGUGACCGGUCACAUUGGGACUGAGAUACGGCCCAGACUCCUACGGGAGGCAGCAGUGGGGAAUAUUGCACAAUGGGCGAAAGCCUGAUGCAGCGACGCCGCGUGAGGGAUGGAGGCCUUCGGGUUGUAAACCUCUUUCGCUCAUGGUCAAGCCGCGACGCGGGUUGUGGUGAGGGUAGUGGGUAAAGAAGCGCCGGCUAACUACGUG
This 483-nucleotide ribosomal RNA is filed under the name uncultured bacterium. Its description in RNAcentral is "partial 16S ribosomal RNA". It matches the Rfam family "Bacterial small subunit ribosomal RNA", at positions 28 to 507 of the family's 1533-position model. The record is from RNAcentral.